RNAcentral lists this ribosomal RNA (689 nucleotides) under uncultured bacterium. Its description in RNAcentral is "bacterial LSU rRNA". It matches the Rfam family "Bacterial large subunit ribosomal RNA", at positions 167 to 899 of the family's 2925-position model. The record is from RNAcentral.
UAGGUGUAAGAGGCGAACCCGGGGAACUGAAACAUCUAAGUACCCGGAGGAAAAGAAAUCAACCGAGAUUCCCUUAGUAGCGGCGAGCGAACGGGGAUCAGCCAUCAUAUGAUAGCUUCUGUGUUAGUGGAACGCUCUGGAAAGUGCGGCAAUAAAGGGUGAUAGCCCCGUACACGAAAACGCAGUUGUGGUACUAGGUAUGUAAUAAGUAGGUCGGGACACGUGUUAUCUUGACUGAAGAUGGGGGGACCAUCCUCCAAGGCUAAAUACUCCUAACUGACCGAUAGUGAACCAGUACCGUGAGGGAAAGGCGAAAAGAACCCCGUAGAGGGGAGUGAAAUAGAUCCUGAAAUCGUGUGCGUACAAGCAGUAGGAGCUCUUCGGAGUGACUGCGUACCUUUUGUAUAAUGGGUCAGCGACUUAUUGUCAGUAGCAAGGUUAACCGUUUAGGGGAGCCGUAGGGAAACCGAGUCUUAAUAGGGCGUCUAGUUGCUGGCAAUAGACCCGAAACCGGGCGAUCUAGCCAUGGGCAGGUUGAAGAUUAGGUAACACUGAUUGGAGGACCGAACCCACUAACGUUGAAAAGUUAGGGGAUGACCUGUGGCUAGGAGUGAAAGGCUAAUCAAGCCCGGAGAUAGCUGGUUCUCCCCGAAAUCUAUUUAGGUAGAGCGUCAUGUCUCACUCCUGGG